Molecule: ribosomal RNA, 252 nt
Filed under: uncultured bacterium
Lineage: Bacteria
Description: partial 16S ribosomal RNA
Rfam family: Bacterial small subunit ribosomal RNA
Source: RNAcentral
UACGUAAGGUCCGAGCGUUGUCCGGAAUUACUGGGCGUAAAGGGUUCGCAGGCGGCAUGGCAAGUCCGAUGUAAAAGGCGAAAGCUCAACUUUCGUAAGCAUCGGAAACUGUCAAGCUUGAGUAGAUGAGGGGCAAGUGGAAUUCCUAGUGUAGCGGUGAAAUGCUUAGAUAUUAGGAGGAAUACCAGUGGCGAAGGCGACUUGCUGGAAUCUAACUGACGCUGAGGUACGAAAGCGUGGGGAGCAAACAGG